RNAcentral lists this unclassified non-coding RNA (783 nucleotides) under Hevea brasiliensis (rubber tree). Lineage: Eukaryota; Viridiplantae; Streptophyta; Magnoliopsida; Malpighiales; Euphorbiaceae. The record is from RNAcentral.
AUCGGGUCCAUGUUGACGGCUAUCCUGGGAUCCACGUUCCUGGGGCACAUCUGCUGUAGUUCAGUUGCAUAGGACGGGUUGAGUGUAGGAUCCACUGGAUUUUGACGACUGAAAUUGUAUAUCCUGUUGCUGAACCUGUUGCAGUGGGAAAAUCCAAGGGUGUGUGCCGCUGAGAGAGCAAUCAUGUCAGUCUGGGAGAGGCCAUGAGAAGCAAAGAGAGAAUUGAGUUGAUUCAGAUUGAAAGUUUCCUUAGGCAGUUUGCCAUUAACGCUAGCAGCAGUUGAGCUGAGGCCAUCAAGUCUUCCCAAUUCAACAGCAUAUGAAGGUCCACCAGACAGAGCAACAACAUCUCUUGUUGCCAUUGCAAGAAUAUCUGCACAUGACACCUUGUUUCUGCAGCUGGGGAUGGCGUCCACGGCUUGGCCUUGAUCACGGUGUCAAAUCCAUCCCCGGCCAAUGAUAAAUUAUCCGGGUGGUCUUUCUCUGCUUUGUUGUUCGGAGUGGAUUGGAUUAUAACUGAAGCAUCACAUCCCUGCACAAAGCAAUCAUGGAAGAAGAGACGGAGGGUUCCAGGAACAGUGACAAAAGUCUGCUGAAAUUUCUUUUGAACUGCAUUUCUAACAAUGGAUUCCACAUUUGGGCAAAUAUUGGCAUAAUAAUUUUGUCUAAGCUGAGCUGAAACAGAACUUGAAAAGAGGCACAAACUGAAAGAAAGUGACAAUACAAGAAUAAGCUGGAAACUACCCAUCAUGACCCUGAUCCACUAUAAUAUGUAAAAGAAGC